This 497-nucleotide ribosomal RNA is filed under the name uncultured bacterium. RNAcentral describes it as "partial 16S ribosomal RNA". It matches the Rfam family "Bacterial small subunit ribosomal RNA", at positions 28 to 507 of the family's 1533-position model. The record is from RNAcentral.
GAUGAACGCUGGCGGCGUGCCUAAUACAUGCAAGUCGAGCGAACAGACGAGGAGCUUACUCCUCUGACGUUAGCGGCGGACGGGUGAGUAACACGUGGAUAACCUACCUAUAAGACUGGGAUAACUUCGGGAAACCGGAGCUAAUACCGGAUAACAUGUUGAACCGCAUGGUUCAACAGUGAAAGACGGUCUUGCUGUCACUUAUAGAUGGAUCCGCGUCGCAUUAGCUAGUUGGUAAGGUAACGGCUUACCAAGGCAACGAUGCGUAGCCGACCUGAGGGGGUGAUCGGCCACACUGGAACUGAGACACGGUCCAGACUCCUACGGGAGGCAGCAGUAGGGAAUCUUCCGCAAUGGGCGAAAGCCUGACGGAGCAACGCCGCGUGAGUGAAGAAGGUCUUCGGAUCGUAAAACUCUGUUAUUAGGGAAGAACAAAUGUGUAAGUAACUAUGCACGUCUUGACGGUACCUAAUCAGAAAGCCACGGCUAACUACGUG